Molecule: ribosomal RNA, 497 nt
Filed under: uncultured bacterium
Lineage: Bacteria
Description: partial 16S ribosomal RNA
Rfam family: Bacterial small subunit ribosomal RNA
Source: RNAcentral
GAUGAACGCUGGCGGCGUGCCUAAUACAUGCAAGUCGAGCGAACAGACGAGGAUCUUGCUCCUCUGACGUUAGCGGCGGACGGGUGAGUAACACUUGGAUAACCUACCUAUAGGACUGGGAUAACUUCGGGAAACCUGAUCUAAUACCGGAGCAUAUAUUGAACCGCAGGGGUCGAUAGUGAUAGACGGUUUUGCUGUCACUUAUGGAUGGAUCCGCGCCGCAUUAGCUAGUUGGUAAGGUAACGUCUUACCAAGGCAACGAUGCGUAGACGACCUGUGAGGGGGGUCGCCCGCCCUGGAAGUGAGCCACGGACCAGACUACUACGGGAGGGACCAGUAGGGAACGGUCCGCAACGGGCGAAAGCCUGACGGAGCAACCCCGAGUCAGUGAUGAAGGUCUUCGGAUCGUAAAAACGUCUUACGAGGGAAGAACCGCUGUGGACGUUAAUGUGCCCGUAUUGACGGUAACUGGUAAGAAAGCAACGGCUAACUACGUG